GUUUGACACCCCUGAUCUACAAGGUCAAACCUACAGGUCUAGAAUUUCAUACAGCUGUGGUUGAUAAGAUGUAGAAGGUGGAGUUCAACAGGAGCAGCAUCAUUACUGUUAUUAGAUCCACCUGUGUGUUCCCUGCAAUGCCCAGGCAGCAAACACUUAACAGGUCCGGUGUGUUCCUGCACCAACAUCACUAAGACACAUUCCUAUGCACAUGAUGAUGCCGUGAUGUUAACCAGACGUCCAACCCAUCAUCUAAUAUUGUUACAAAUAGCCUCCCAAAUAAAUCACAUUUUCCCCAUUUGUGCCUCUGGAUCAUAUACAUGGAGCAUCUGUCUGUACAUAAGAAUGCAGAAAAUCUAAUUCCUCCAGUGUUUGCUGUGUCACAUGCUGCGUCUGGCCUCCUGCAUGUGGACCGUUUCAUUUUACCCCUGUGGGAAUUGAAAACAAUCACGUUACAGUGGAG
Molecule: long non-coding RNA, 463 nt
Organism: Amphiprion ocellaris (clown anemonefish)
Lineage: Eukaryota; Metazoa; Chordata; Actinopteri; Pomacentridae
Source: Ensembl